Molecule: ribosomal RNA, 519 nt
Filed under: uncultured bacterium
Lineage: Bacteria
Description: bacterial SSU rRNA
Rfam family: Bacterial small subunit ribosomal RNA
Source: RNAcentral
AGUUUGAUCCUGGCUCAGAUUGAACGCUGGCGGCAGGCCUAACACAUGCAAGUCGAGCGGUUGACGGGAGCUUGCUCCCUGAUUCAGCGGCGGACGGGUGAGUAAUGCCUAGGAAUCUGCCUAUUAGUGGGGGACAACGUUUCGAAAGGAACGCUAAUACCGCAUACGUCCUACGGGAGAAAGCAGGGGACCUUCGGGCCUUGCGCUAAUAGAUGAGCCUAGGUCGGAUUAGCUAGUUGGUGAGGUAAUGGCUCACCAAGGCGACGAUCCGUAACUGGUCUGAGAGGAUGAUCAGUCACACUGGAACUGAGACACGGUCCAGACUCCUACGGGAGGCAGCAGUGGGGAAUAUUGGACAAUGGGCGAAAGCCUGAUCCAGCCAUGCCGCGUGUGUGAAGAAGGUCUUCGGAUUGUAAAGCACUUUAAGUUNGGGAGGAAGGGCAGUUAGCGAAUACCUUGCUGUCUUGACGUUACCGACAGAAUAAGCACCGGCUAACUCUGUGCCAGCAGCCGCGGUAA